AUGGAGAGCAAGGUGCUGCUGGCCGUCGCCCUGUGGCUCUGCGUGGGGACCCGGGCCGCCUUUGUGGGUUUGCCUAGUGUUUCUCUUGAUCUGCCCAGGCUCAGCAUACAAAAAGACAUACUUACAAUUAAGGCUAAUACAACUCUUCAAAUUACUUGCAGGGGACAGAGGGACUUGGACUGGCUUUGGCCCAAUAAUCAGAGUGGCAGUGAGCAAAGGGUGGAGGUGACUGAGUGCAGCGAUGGCCUCUUCUGUAAGACACUCACAAUUCCAAAAGUGAUCGGAAAUGACACUGGAGCCUACAAGUGCUUCUACCGGGAAACUGACUUGGCCUCGGUCAUUUAUGUCUAUGUUCAAGAUUACAGAUCUCCAUUUAUUGCUUCUGUUAGUGACCAACAUGGAGUCGUGUACAUUACAGAGAACAAAAACAAAACUGUGGUGAUUCCAUGUCUCGGGUCCAUUUCAAAUCUCAACGUGUCACUUUGUGCAAGGUACCCAGAAAAGAGAUUUGUUCCUGAUGGAAACAGAAUUUCCUGGGACAGCAAGAAGGGCUUUACUAUUCCCAGCUACAUGAUCAGCUAUGCUGGCAUGGUCUUCUGUGAAGCAAAAAUUAAUGAUGAAAGUUACCAGUCUAUUAUGUACAUAGUUGUCGUUGUAGGGUAUAGGAUUUAUGAUGUGGUUCUGAGUCCGUCUCACGGAAUUGAACUAUCUGUUGGAGAAAAGCUUGUCUUAAAUUGUACAGCAAGAACUGAACUAAAUGUGGGGAUUGACUUCAACUGGGAAUACCCUUCUUCGAAGCAUCAGCAUAAGAAACUUGUAAACCGAGACCUAAAAACCCAGUCUGGGAGUGAGAUGAAGAAAUUUUUGAGCACCUUAACUAUAGAUGGUGUAACCCGGAGUGACCAAGGAUUGUACACCUGUGCAGCGUCCAGUGGGCUGAUGACCAAGAAGAACAGCACUUUUGUCAGGGUCCAUGAAAAACCUUUUGUUGCUUUUGGAAGUGGCAUGGAAUCUCUGGUGGAAGCCACGGUGGGGGAGCGUGUCAGAAUCCCUGUGAAGUACCUUGGUUACCCACCCCCAGAAAUAAAAUGGUAUAAAAAUGGAAUACCCCUUGAGUCCAAUCACACAAUUAAAGCGGGGCAUGUACUGACGAUUAUGGAAGUGAGUGAAAGAGACACAGGGAAUUACACUGUCAUCCUUACCAAUCCCAUUUCAAAGGAGAAGCAGAGCCACGUGGUCUCUCUGGUUGUGUAUGUCCCACCCCAGAUUGGUGAGAAAUCGCUGAUCUCUCCUGUGGAUUCCUACCAGUAUGGCACCACUCAAACGCUGACGUGUACGGUCUAUGCCAUUCCUCCCCCGCAUCACAUCCACUGGUAUUGGCAGUUGGAGGAAGAGUGCCCCAACGAGCCCAGCCAAGCUGUCUCAGUGACAAACCCAUACCCUUGUGAAGAAUGGAGAAGUGUGGAGGACUUUCAGGGAGGAAAUAAAAUUGAAGUCAAUAAAAAUCAAUUUGCUCUAAUUGAAGGAAAAAACAAAACUGUAAGUACCCUUGUUAUCCAAGUGGCAAAUGUGUCAGCUUUGUACAAAUGUGAAGCGGUCAACAAAGUCGGGAGAGGAGAGAGGGUGAUCUCCUUCCACGUGACCAGGGGUCCUGAAAUUACUUUGCAACCUGACAUGCAGCCCACUGAGCAGGAGAGCGUGUCUUUGUGGUGCGCUGCAGACAGAUCUACAUUUGAGAACCUCACAUGGUACAAGCUUGGCCCACAGCCUCUGCCAAUCCACAUGGGAGAGUUGCCCACACCUGUUUGCAAGAACUUGGAUACUCUUUGGAAAUUGAAUGCCACCAUGUUCUCUAAUAGCACAAAUGACAUUUUGAUCAUGGAGCUUAAGAAUGCAUCCUUGCAGGACCAAGGAGACUAUGUCUGCCUUGCUCAAGACAGGAAGACCAAGAAAAGACAUUGCGUGGUCAGACAGCUCACAGUCCUAGGUAGGGAGACAAUUCUGGAUCAUUGUGCAGAGGCAGUUGGAAUGCCUUAA
Molecule: small RNA, 2037 nt
Filed under: Pongo abelii (Sumatran orangutan)
Lineage: Eukaryota; Metazoa; Chordata; Mammalia; Primates; Hominidae
Description: retained intron
Source: RNAcentral